Non-coding RNA from Callithrix jacchus (white-tufted-ear marmoset), 8406 nucleotides. The record is from RefSeq and is a predicted model, not a curated record. Lineage: Eukaryota; Metazoa; Chordata; Mammalia; Primates; Cebidae.
ACGCGGAGGUGGAGAUUAGAGCGCAGGGGAGCCCGGGAAAGAAGCCGAAGAAAUGACGGAGAGGAGUGGCCAGGGUAACGGGAAGAGGAGACAGGAGACCCCGAGUAGCCGGGGAGCCAGAAGAGAGCCCCGCCGGGCGUGGGGAGGAGCCAGCUAAGCGGCAGCGGCACCUGUGGUAGAGUUGCGGGGUUUUCUUUCCGAGCGCGACGGUCAGGCAAAGCUACCAAGGCUCUCGCUAAGGCCGAAGGCGGCGGGUGGUAAGCCAAGUCGCCACCUACUCGCCUCCCUGACUCACUUGCAGACUGUCGGGCGCUGACACACACGCGAUGAGGUCGUCAAAGCUGGUGGUCCCUACGCUCAUAUUUGUGCUUUGCCCUGCCUGGAUAUAUAUAGAAGAGAGGCUGUGAGAAGAAAUUAUUUUCAGGAGAAAAAGGAUUGGAGUUUUAUUAAAUGUCUUCAUGUUAAUCAUCGUAUUUUAAUCACACACCUUCCCUAUGGAGUAAUAAAAUGGGAGAAGUUAAGCUGUGUGCUCAAGAUCACAUGGCUAGGAAGCAACUUACUGAAGAAGUACAGCUCUUUUGCUGGUUAAGCCUGGACAGGUCUUUUCUUGGCUCCCAGAGGGUCUCGCUCUGAAAAUAGCAUGAUGAUGGCUCAGUGCAGCCCCAACCCUCUGGACUCAAGCGACCCUCCCAUCCCAGCCUCCUGAGUAUCUGGGCCCACAGGCACAUGCCACCACAUCCGGGCUGUACAGGAAGCAUGGCUCAGGAGGCCUAAGGACACUUACAACCAUGGCAGAGGGCAAAAAAGAAGAAGAGGGAGCCUUGCCUUGUCAUACCAAGGCUGAAGUGCAGUGGUGCAAUCUCAGCUCACUGCAACCUGCACCUCCUGGGUUCAAGCAAUCCUACCACCUCAGCCUCCCAAGUAGCUGGGAUUAUAAGUGUAUGCCACCAUGCCUGGCUAAUUUUUGUGUUUUUAGUGAAGAUGAUGUUUCACCAUGUUGUCCAGGUUGUUCUUGAACUCCUGACCUCAAAUGAUCCACCCUCCUGAUCCAGCUUACAGAUGUGAGCUACUGUGCCUGGCCCCUUCUACAUUUUUUUUAGAGAUGAGGUCUUUUUGUAUUGACCAGGCUGAGGUGCACGGAUGUAUUAACACUACAGCCUCUUAACUCCUGGCCUUGAGUGAUCCUCCUGCCUCAGCCUCCAGAGUAGCUGGGACUACAGGUCCUAUGCCCAGCAUCCUUCUGCAUUUAUAUUGCAUUUGUCCUUCUGCACCUUACAAAUUUUUUUACUGUACUUUAGUGGAAACUCAUGAAACAGCAGAGAUAAGUUCAUAUGUUCAAUCUGCCUUGUCUAAGGGGAACUUUAUAGCACGUUCUAUAUUGAGAAAUAAUAUGGUCAAAAGCUGAUAACUCUAAGGGUGUGAGAAUAAGAAGCCCACUUUGUAACAGAAACAUGAAAUUUAAAAAUUCUAUAAUAGACAAGCCAUAUAUAUGACUAUUCACUGCUCUGUGAACAAGCGAAAGGUCUGUUGCUAUAGAAAACUGGAUUAUGUGAAUUUUCAAAUACUUGAAAUUACAGGGAAGUCAAUAAAUCAACAUAAGAUAUAAGGGCUUGUCUAGUAAUUUGUGGACGCAGGAUGUAUUGAGUGUAUUUUAUGAAAAUUGCCUUUAGAGAUUAAUUGGCCUCAUUUGGGAGCCUUAAGAAGCAUGCUAUUUAGCGACUCAUUGGAACAGCUCCAGAUUGGAAGGAUGGAGCCAGGGCAUUUAAUGUUGUACAUUUAUGAAAUAGGUGAAUUACAGACACAGUUUUUUAAAAAAAAUUUCAGGCAAAAUUUACAUAUUUUUAAAAAAGAGUCUGCAUGGUCUUCCUCUAUCCUAAUCCCGACCAAACUCCAGCCUGUAUAUGAAUUUGAGUAAAAAUGUACAGUAAGGGGAACGAAGUGGAGUUGCACACAAUACAAUGACUAACAUUUAUUGACCUGUAUUGAGUGUUUACUAUGUGCUAAUGAUUGUGCUAAAAACUUCAUAAAUUAUUUAAUGGUUAGUGAUUAUUUGACGAAUGUGUUUAAGUGGUAAAAAAGAAAGGACAAAUGAGAAAGGAGGAGGAGAGAGGUUGCAAACACCACCAAAGAUUUAUAGUGUUCUCAUUUUCUUUCCCUCCCAUCCCUUCCCAUCUCAAGGGCUGCUCUAGACUUAUUUAUAUUCAUAGCAUAAUUUUGAACAUUAUCUGUGCUUUUUGGUGUUCUUUUAGUAUGUUAAUACUAAAUAGUUCAUCUUAGCUACUUAAAUUUGAAGAUUAAUGAUAUGGAACUUCGAGCAGGAGCUUUGAUUUAGCAUAUGUAGUAAAUGUUCAAAUCACACAUAUAUUACUGGUUUUUUUUAAUAUAUCAUUAGAUACUUUGUAAAAGAAGAGAGAGAAUAAAAGGAUAGAAGAAAGAGAAACCUGUCAAGGCAUUACUAUAAUUUUAAAACCUGUUUAUGAAAGCAAUGUGGCUGCUGCUUACAAACGAUCAAACCUUUACAAGUGUUAAGUAAUAUCAGCCUGGGAUGACUUAAUACAUGUUCAGUCAAACAAAUUAACAAGAAUGCAGAAGUCUGGAACAUGUAUAAACUUGGUCUAGGAUUAAUGGAAGUAAUCUAGAGAGAAAAUGAGAAUAUAAAUAAUUCUCCAAAAACUAGUAAGAUAUCUUUAAGGCUGCAGAUUAUUUAAGUUUCACAAUUUCCAUUAUUAUUUUUUAUUGUAAAAGAAAGUAAAUUUCUUUCUUACUUAAUUGUUAUCUACUGAGUACCUGCUUUGUGAAAGGCAUUGUGAUAAGCAUUGUGGAGGAAAAAAUAUUAAAAGUCUACGAUGCUAUCUAUUUUAUCAAGAAACUCAUAAUCCUGUGUUGAAGAUAAGACAUAUGUAAAAUAACUGCUAAACUCUACACAGUAUUAUGUGACAAGUGCCACAUGAAUGACAAAUAUUUUCAUUUUCCAUUUUGCCCAUUUGCAAUAUAUAUAGAAUGAAUUAUAUAGCUAACAUUCCAAAUAUAUGUGCUUUUUUGUACCCUAAUCAUAUAUGUCAAUCUUCUACAACAACUACAAAACAUCAUUAAAAGUACUUUAUGUAGAGCAAGACUAGAGGAAGGGCUGCCAGCUAUGGCAUGCAAAGGAAAAGUUUUCUGAUUCCAAAGACAUAUAUGUGUAUGUGUCUAUCUUAAGGAAAUUUAUAACUUUUUUAAAUGCAUGACAUAGGAAAGUAUUUAUUUUGUUGUUCAAAUAAGAAAACAACAUUGUAAAGAUUUCUACAAAUGUAUUCCUUAUAACUGGAAAUAGUAACUGAAACAGUAUCAUACUUGGAGGUCUGUAUUCUAGAUGGCUAACAGCUUUGUUGCUUGGGGUUACAAAUGAGAAAUGAUACCCUACAAUGAUCUUGUCCAUUGAAGUGUAGAGUUUAAGUCUCCUGGUUCAGAAUUAAAGGGAACUGUAGGGUGAGAGGCAAUCUGUAUUCAUAAUUCCAUAGACAGCAGUUUUCUUCAGGCUUUGAUUCAUAGCUCAUCUGCUACCUGCCAUUCGCCCUGAGUUCCCGGAUGCCUUGCCGGUUUCCAUGGUGCUAAUAUGCAUAUCAAAUUGGAACUUGUAUUUUUGUGUUUGGCUCAUAUGGAAUAUGUGAUUUAUUGAGUGUUAACUACAUUCCAUUCAGCCAAGUGUGCUAGAUAUAUAUCUCAUUUAAUUUCACAAUAACCCUAUGAGGUCAGUAUUAUUUUUGUCACCAUUUUACAGAUGAAGAAAGUGAGGUUCAGAGAAACUAAGUAACUUGCUGUGAUGGUUAAUACUGAGUGUCAACUUGAUUGGAAUGAAGGAUGCAAAGGGUGUGUCUGUGAGGGUGUUGCCAAAGGAGAUUAACAUUUGAGUCAGUGGGCUGGGAAAGGUAGACCCACCCUUAAUCUGAUGGGCACAAUCUAAUCAGCUGCCAGCGAAUAAAGCUGGCAAGAAAACAUGCAAAGGUGAGACUGGCCUAGCCUCCCAGCCUACAUCCUACUACUGUGUUGAAUGCUUUCUGUCCUUGAACAUCAGACUCCAACUUCUUCAGUUUGGAGACUCGGACUGGCUCUCUUUCCUCCUCAAGCUUGCAGACAGCCUACUGUGGGACCUUGUGAUCAUGUAAGUUAAUAUUUAAUAAACUCCCUCUUGUGUGUGUGUGUGUGUGUGUGUGUGUCCUAUUAGUUCUGUCGUUCUAGGGAACACUGACUAAUACACUUGCCCAAAGUUAUGGAGCUGGUAAAUGAUGGAGUCAGGAGUCCAAUUCAAUCUGUUUAACUCCUGGUCUGUUCUGAUAACCAUUUGGCUCUGCUGUCUUUCCUGUGGAACAUGCUAGUAUUUAGAUGUCAGGUAUUUAGACAUCAGGAAGUAUUUAGAUGUCAGGAGAUUAAGAGAAAGAGUUAGGCUAGAGAUACAUUUAGUAGUAAUCAACAUGUGUUAUAUAUCCUCAAACAUAAGGAGACUUCAAAAGAAGAUACUAGAAAGUUCGCCUUGUCAAUUGGAUUAUAAAAUAUUUUAUGGAUAUCAAUGAAUGAAUCAAAUGCCUAUUCUUGGCAUUUAAAAUUUUAAUCUAGUAAAAUAAGUAUUUAAAACUACAUUAUAUAAAUACAUGAAUUUAGCUGUGUUGCUUUAUCACCUCAUUUCAUGAAAUAAUUCAUUUGAGUUAUUUACAUGCAUUUUGAACAUCACUAGCAUCUAUUUUUGUCAUCUGCUUUUCAGAGCUCAUUAUCCUAAUUUCUAGCUUAUAUGACAUACUAUACAAAACUAUUAUUAUCUUGCUGUACAGAAAAUUUUAUCCCAGGUAACAGAUACUCAUUCACAUAAAAUCACAUAUGCAGUUGUGACAUCAUACCCCUGCAAUAGCUGAUACAUUAGUAUUACAUUGAUACUUUUAUGUAUGUAUGUAUAUAUGUAUGUAUUUGCUUGCUCAUAUUUAAUAUUUAUUUUUAGACUAGCUUUGAUGUGGGUUAUUUCAUGGAAACAGCAUAGUGUCAAUUAAAACUUUUGGAGUAGAAAAGUAGACAGAGUUCCAGCUUUUUUUAAAGAAGGACAAUGAUUGGCAUUGCAACUGUAUUCAGCCAGAAAAAUACAUACUUUUCCAAAAUAAAUUUCUUACAUUUAACUGAGAUGUGCUAAAACUUACUAUUUGGUAGGUAGAACUAACAUAUGAAAGAGGAAAAAAAAAAAGAGCAGAGAACAGAUUUUAAUUCAGGUCUCACUCAAGCUCAUGUGCUUUUUUUUUAACCCCUGCUGUCAUUUAUGAUUAACAGACAAUAUAUACUUGUGAGAUGGCUGGUUGAUAACCAUGAGACAGAGUUUAGGUAACUGGCCUAUGUGUAAACACAGAAUGAAUAACCGAUUUUCUAGCACAUUGUUUUAACCAAUUACCAUGCCUUCUAAGGACAAAUGUUAUAUUUCAAUAUAUGGGGGAUCACUUUUAGAGAAUUCCAAUAGGGAAAGGAUGGUGAGAAGAGCAAAACUAGAAAAUAUGAGUGGUAGUACGUGAAACAACAGCUUUCUGCAUUAGAGUAGAUUAGAAAUUGAACUGUUAACAGUUCUUGCAUGUAUCUGAACCCAAAUUCCCAUGGCAAGGUUAUCAGGUAAAGACAUACAUGACAUCAAAAGUCAUGUUGAUAUUUAAAACACAGCCAAUGUGAUGUCAUAGGCCUUAUUUCUAGAUAUUUUAAUAUUAAUGUAACAAAAUUUUAUGUAUCAAGUACUUGCUAAAUUAAAAUAAUGUAGUCACAUUUACCUUUUAAAUCUAAAGCUUUAGUAUAUUCACUUUCCUAGUAUUCUCACACCUCAGUUACAAAGAAUAGGCACCCAUUCAGUGCAUAUCAGAAAAUGGACACAAUAAAUGUUAAAAGCAACUAUGUUUUCUAAAAGCGGCAACAUUUGCCCAACUAUAAAAAAAAGUUGUUUUGCUUAUAUCUAUAAAUGUUACUAGGUUUCCGUUAGAGAAAAUCCACCAGAUGGCAACAUCAUCUGCUUAUGAAAGGUGAUAUGCAAUCCUCUGCAACCCAUUACAGGUCCCUUGAGCCAGAGGCUCCCUGAUCAGUGGCUGAUUUCUAUAGUGAUUCAUAAAUGGAUACUAGGUAGUCAUUUGGGGAUAAUUAUUGAAGUUGGGGGAUGGGAACAAUUAGGCCAUAGUUAGCAUCAAGGGUGAAAUAGUUUUAGUAUCAUUCUUUUUUAUUAAUAUUGAAACAAAAAAUAUAGUAUCUAUUUCCAUGUUGCCCUCUAAUCAUGUUUUUAAUUCAAAGCUAAAAGGGAUUAUAUUCACUUCAGUAUAUAAAGCUACAGACAGUAUUAUUUUUUUCAUGGAUCACAAGUUAUUCUAGUUGGUUCCCUUGUACUUAAUGGCAAUCUGGUAGCUAGCUGGCUUAUUGUUUUAAAUUCAAACUAUCUUUCUUAUAUCUAAACCUGAUAGUAUGCAGAAAGUACUGCUGGGGAUAUUUAAUAUGUCCCUUAUUGUUUUCUGUUUAUAACAACCUGCCCUGAGGUACUAAUUAGAUAUUAGAUACUACACAUAUUUAGCAAAUACUGUUGGUGUUUUUCCAUACAAAGUCUGUGGUCAAGGUGAAAGUCGUUGAUGGGUUGGUAAUAUGAACUGCACAUUUCUGAAAAGGAAAAAAAAAUAGACUUGUUGAAAUUUUUAUUCCUGAAUAGCUAGAGUUCUAAUUGCAUCUGACAUUUUAUUAAUAAAUCCCUUUCCAAAGUGGCAUAUAUCACUUGUAUUAAAUUACAGCUGUGUAAAACAUCUGUUUGAUUUAAAUAUCUACAAUACCUAACAGGUUGCCUGUUAGUUUUUUUAAUACAGUGGACUUUUUUGUUAUCUGUAUAUUUUCUAAAAUUCAUAUAACUUGAAAAAUAUAGUUUUUUCUGUCUCCUGGGUAUUUAUUGAGGUAUAUUUUUAAAAAUCAUGUAAUUCACCAUUUCAAGUAUAGUAUACAAUGAUUUUUAGUAAAUUUAUGUUUCCUGGGUAUUUUUAAAGUGGUACAGUUGUUUCUAGAUGCUGUUCCCCUUACAUGACAAGUAUUCUAAAUUUUGGCAGCUAAUCUAUCCUUGGUUCCGUAUGUGCCUGCUUUUUGAUAUUGUUUACAUUAAUAAAGAGCAGAAAAUCUGACUCUUGGGUGUCUAAAAUUUUGUUAGUAUCAAUGCCUCAGUGACCCAUCUUCUAGAUUUGGAGGGACAGAUUCAUAUUGCAUAACAGAGUUGGAAUUUGGGACUCAUUUUCAUAUAAUACUAACAAAUCUAACCUUCAAAACCACCAACACUAUUGGAGCUAGUUAUUAUUAACACAUGUGCAGUACUGACAUUAUAUUAAAGCAUUGCACAGCACAUAAAAUACUGUUCUUGCUGUUAAUGGAUUUAUAAAGUAAUUGGAAAAAUUGAUCUACGUAUAAAGAGGCCUUAAAAAAAAGUCAUUAGACUUCAUUCACAUUCUCCUCUAUCCCCUUAAUUGCUAAUUUCUCAUUUCCAUCUGCAGAUAUAUGGCUUUCUGUUCUCUUGUUCUGCCACCUAGAUUUACAUGGCUCAAAGUUCAAAUGAUAUUAACAGACUGUAUAUCAAAACUGAUGUCCAUCUUCUAUUAAAUAUUAGUUCCUUUCUUCAUAUGUUUGGGCUAAUGGCUAUAUGGUAAAAUAGUAGAAAAGUCUUCUUGUCAAUGUUACUGUUGGUUCUUGCACCGAUGGUGGUCAAAAACUGACAUCUUCCCCAGUUGAAAGAGUUUCCUUUGACCUUGAUGGAGGAAAUCCUCCUUAUUUGAGUAAAUAAAUUCCUGAGUUUGGGGAAUGUGCAUAAAUGCUAAAAAACUGGGCAAAUGGCCAAAAAUAACCAUUUCAGCACUCUGGAAAUUGACGAAAGAAUACAACAAGCUGAGAACUUCUGGACUUUGAGUAAGAAAAUAAUAAGUCUGUGGUGUUCUUGCUUGGACCUGUCUAUUCACCACCUCCUCCACUUGCUCCCCACAAGCUCUGUUAUCACAGUAGUUGAAGGGUGAGGCAGGCUGUAAGAACUAGAAGUUUUGCUGCUGCUGUUGCUGCUACUGAAAAGAACUCACCUAAUUUGGAACAUUGUCAGCUAAAGUACAGUCAGCCCUUGAUCAACGUGGGUUUGAACCAUGCAGGUCCACUUACAUGCAGAUUUCUCUCUGCCUCUGCCACCCAUGAGACAGCAACACCAACCUUGACUCUUCCUUUGCUUCCUCUGUCUACUCAACCUGCAGACAAUGAGGAUGAAGACUUUUAUGGUGAUCCACUUCUGCUUAAUGGAUAGUAAAUAUAUUUUCUCUUCUUAUAGCUUUCUUAAUAACAUUUUCUUUUCUGUAGCUUACUGGCUUACUUUAUUGUAAGAAUACCAUAUAUAAUAUAUAUCACAUUACAAAAAUA